UACAGGGGGCCCAAGCGUUAGUCGGAAUCACUGGGCUUAAAGGGUGCGUAGGCGGACUUGUAAGUGUCGUGUGAAAGCCCAUCGCUCAACGAUGGAACCGCACGGCAAACUGCAAGUCUCGAGGAAGGUAGAGGCGGGUAGAACGUUUGGUGGAGCGGUGGAAUGCGUAGAUAUCAAACGGAAUGCCAAAGGUGAAGACAGCCCGCUGGGCCUUUCCUGACGCUGAGGCACGAAAGCGUGGGGAGCAAACAGG
Molecule: ribosomal RNA, 253 nt
Filed under: uncultured bacterium
Lineage: Bacteria
Description: partial 16S ribosomal RNA
Rfam family: Bacterial small subunit ribosomal RNA
Source: RNAcentral